This is a long non-coding RNA of Parasteatoda tepidariorum (common house spider), 417 nucleotides long. RefSeq lists it as uncharacterized. Lineage: Eukaryota; Metazoa; Arthropoda; Arachnida; Araneae; Theridiidae. The record is from RefSeq and is a predicted model, not a curated record.
AUGUUAACGAACCAAAUUAUUAACACACCACCUGCGAAUUUUCCGAACUCAGAAGUUCAGUUAAUAAAUAUUUACCGUUUGGAUAAUGAUACCAUGAAAGUAACAUUGUUGAAAUGACGCCAGCUGUAAAGCAAAAACUUCAGAGAGACGUCGAAUGAAAUGGUGAGAAGGAAGAGGAAAAUAAAAGAGAGUGAAAGAGGAAAGAAAAGGGUUUCAGUAAACGAUAGGGCUGGGCGUGCCCAAGGAGUCCAAAGAAAAAAAUGGCUACUGACGCAGAGAAGAUACAGCUAAAAUAAACCAUGAAAAGAAGAAUUAUCUACGACUCUUGAGAUAAAUCAAAUCAACAAACUUCUCUGCUCGCGCAAAAUCGGAAACUAAUUAAGAUUGUUUCUAAUAAUCAUUGAAAUUAAUAAAUUG